RNAcentral lists this unclassified non-coding RNA (329 nucleotides) under soil metagenome. Its description in RNAcentral is "partial contains 5.8S ribosomal RNA, internal transcribed spacer 2, and large subunit ribosomal RNA". The stretch from base 1 to 120 matches the Rfam family "5.8S ribosomal RNA", at positions 35 to 154 of the family's 154-position model. The record is from RNAcentral.
GAUGAAGAACGCAGCGAAAUGCGAUAAGUAAUGCGAAUUGCAGAAUUCCGUGAGUCAUCGAAUCUUUGAACGCACAUUGCGCCCUCUGGUAUUCCGGGGGGCAUGCCUGUUCGAGCGUCAUUAUAACCACUCAAGCUCUCGCUUGGUAUUGGAGUUCGCGAUCUCGCGGCUCCUAAAAUCAGUGGCGGUGCCUGUCGGCUCUACGCGUAGUAAUACUCCUCGCGAUUGAGUCCGGUAGGUUUACUUGCCAGCAACCCCCAAUUUUUACAGGUUGACCUCGGAUCAGGUAGGGAUACCCGCUGAACUUAAGCAUAUCAAUAAGCGGAGGA